This 2343-nucleotide long non-coding RNA is filed under the name Pelobates cultripes (western spadefoot toad). The record is from RNAcentral. Lineage: Eukaryota; Metazoa; Chordata; Amphibia; Anura; Pelobatidae.
UUAAAUUCCAAAACGUCAUAGUUUAUUAGUUAUCAAAAAUUAAAAAAAAUGUUGUCACACAGAGUAAAAAUGCAAAUACAUGGUGAAUAAAUGUUUUUACAAAUAGCAGGAUAUAUGCAGUACUUUACCAAAUAAUUAAGGAUAAUGUUCAGAUCAAGGCAUGUCAGAUAAAGCUGGCAUAGUUAAAAGUGUGAAAUUAAAUUUUUUUUUAAUUAAAAUUAAAAUGAAAAUUCUGGGGUAAAAUUUGACUCCAUGGAAAAAGAAUUCUGAUUUUAACCCUUUUUAGGAGAAGCCUAAAAGAUUGACCUUAAGCCCCAGUGCAGGACCUGUCAUUUGUAGCAUGGAGAGGUCUGUGGAAGGGGCUAUACAUAGAUGACCUCCCAAAUCUUUUGCAACCUUUGUUCUUUUAAAAGCCAGUAUUUAAAUGGAGAUCUUUAGAUGUCCCUUUACUGGCACACAGAAGAUCCCUGCAGCUGGGUUUCCAACAUAGGAGGACCUCAGUUCUAAAUCUCUGAGGAAACCAACAAAGUCCUCAAUUUAAUUCUUUUGGAUACAUUUUUUAAAUUAUUACAAUCUGCUAGAAUUUUUUUUCAAAAGAUUUAUCUACAGAAGCGACAAUUAAACUCUAAGGGAACCUUUGUGGAUAAAUAAUUUGAAAAGUUUUCCUAACAGAUUGUGAUCACUAAAAGUUUAUCAACAAGAAUGAAAAAGGCUAAUUCAUCAGCCCUAAAACUGCGAGUGUCUCAGCUACAAAACAAUAAAAAUUAAAAAUACAAAAUUACUUAAUGUGUCAAGAGGACUAGUGAAAAUAAAUUACAAGCCACAAAUUGCAUUGAUAAGAAAAAAACAGUGGUUAUCGGUUAAACUCAUCAACAAAGUUAAAAAGCACAGUUCAUAGGAUAAUUUGGAAAUGUAACAAUAGUAUAGCUUAAUAUGAUCAGGGUACUUACUUUUUGACCCAUUCUCAAAAUAAUCUAUUUUCUAAAGUAAACAGAAAGUUUUUUUAGUGUAUAGUGCGCAUUUUUAUAAAAAUACUAUAAAAGCGUUUAUUUACGGAUCUCCCAACAACUGAUGACGUGUUUUGGAAAAUGCAUUCAACACAGUAAGGCUAUGGUGAAUUGUAGAGGGAAAUAUACAAAGACAAUAUACAUAGCCAAACAUGUUGUGCAAACAUUACAAAAUCAAGGUCAAGAAAAGUAAUGGAUGCAUGAUUAAAAUUUCCUUCUUUUACUGAGAUUUUUACUUCCAUGUUCAGCAUGACCUUGGAUUUAACCAAAUUUAAUUAAUAGAUGUAGCCUUUCUGACUGUAUUUGGGAAGCUUACAAUAAGUGCAUUCAUGAAAAGUAAUUGUAAUUGUAUUUUAUAUGAGGCCCACUGGAAAAUGGACAGAUAGACUGUAUUAUUAUAGGGCAAACAUUGAGAAAUGCCAUGUCAUUGUAGGCCAAAAAGACAUGUAUCGAGAGACACACGGGUAACUGAUACAGUGCUACUCAAAGUAUACCACAUAUACAGCUACCACGCAGAACAUGCUGGAAUUCUGAUGCACAUGUGCCACGUAGCUGUCAGAAUGAGAGUCCCACAAGCUGCGACUGACCACGAUGAUGUCCUCUUGUCCUCGUUCCCCCAGAUUCACCACGCACAAAACCUUGUAACGGGCUGGAAGAACUCGUUUCACCAAAUUCUUUACCUCUUCGCUGACCUCUUUCACCAGCGAUGGAGCACGAGUGGUGUCAUAGGUCAUCUCCCCAAUUUUCCCAGGCAGGUAGUCCUCCAGAAUGUGUUUAAUGGUUGGAACCUGGAUCUUCUCAGAAGGUCGAGAUGCGUACGAAGGUGGCUGGGUUUGGAAAUAAAUUAUAUUUAGCACAGAAAGCAAGGCCUACAUUUUACAAUCUGAUUUUCAAUUUCCUACAUUUUUGAUGUUUAACGAAUAUACCCUAAAUCAUUAUAUUGACCAUUCCACUGCCACGUUAAACAUGGUCUGUAAGUCCUACACUGCAUUUGAAUUUGUCUUACUGUAUAGCCAAGGGGUUAUUAUGUCAGGGCCGGACUGGGAGAAAAAUUCGGCCCGGGCAUUUUUUUAACACAGCGGCCCACUAAGAAGGGGGCGGGGCAGUAGAGGUGUGUUUUGUCAUCACCAAUGACAAACACGCCUCCUCUCAAAGUGAGCAUGUUGGUUCAAUGCUCUUCCAGGGCAGACCAAGCGCAGAGCUCUGCUGAAGAGCUCUAGCAUGAGAAAAAAGCUCUUUAUUUGUUCUGCACAGUGCAAGCAAAUUUAAUAACAUGCUUGCACUGUGUUUCCUUGCAACUUGUCUCUGGUGUCUCUAUAAAUGGAUACCAGGAGAC